Molecule: long non-coding RNA, 1030 nt
Organism: Sapajus apella (tufted capuchin)
Lineage: Eukaryota; Metazoa; Chordata; Mammalia; Primates; Cebidae
Exons: 3
Source: RefSeq, a predicted model, not a curated record
GUGGGAGAUGGAGUCCCGACACUUAUUUCUCUAUACGCACAAUUCUUCCCCUCCUUUUCCGAUUGUUCCCAGCGUUCAGACGGGAAGGGUAUUCUGGGUAUUGUAGUUUACAGUGCACUGUCUUAGCGAAUCAGUCUUGGGGUUAUGGCUUUGUGUUUGUAGGGACAGACGAAGGCUCUAGAUUUAUUUUCAUGUCGGUUAAGCUUUAGCAUUUUGCAGGAAGCACUUUCUAUCAUGAUUUGAAAUUGUUACUGAGUUUUAUGUGUUCUUCAAAAGAUGAUGUUUAUUAUUCGAUAAACUUAGAAUUUUAAUUGAGAGUUACAGUCCGUUAAAAUUGUUACAAAUGUGUUCUGUGUGAACCACCUGCAUUAAAAUCACUUGAAAGGUAUGGAAGAAUGUAUAUACUUUUUCUAUAUAAUUGGGAAUUAUAUGUUUUCCCUAGAAACACUGUCAUAAAUAGGCAUAGAAAUGUGAUCUAGACCAGCCCAGAAGAAGCCUAUUUAAUGCAUAAUGAAGCUAUGUUGUUGCCAUGAAAAACAUAACUGCUAUAAUGCCACAUAAACUGUUAUAAUGUAACAGUUUAGAAGAGAUAGACAAUACAACUUGGGUAAAAACAAGUAACUAUAUGUCUUUAAGAAACUUUAUCUUUUGAGUAAAAAUAUGUUACAAGAGUUGGAUAAAGACAGAUGAAUUCUUAUAACUUGAUGGAUCGUUACAGUUGAAUUACUGCAACUUUCCUGAUAAGGACAACUUUUGGACUCAUGAAUAAAAUGAAGGGAAAGACAGUGGAAUUGCAUUUUGCUAAGGUGAAAGUGGGGAUUAAUCAACAAGGACAUCUUGGAGGAGGAUGUUGCAGAUCCCGUAAUGUGCCAGAAUGAAUUUUAAGUUGGAAGCUGGAGACUGAAAUGACUGAGAGCCAGGACAGGUUAGCCUCCUAAAAUACCCUGUCUGGAGUGCUUCACUGUGGCUAAGGGUUGCUAAUAAGAUAAAUGUAGCACUAAAGCUAUAAAAUUAAAGAUAGUACUUGCUA